Danaus plexippus (monarch butterfly) is the source of this 712-nucleotide long non-coding RNA. RefSeq lists it as uncharacterized. Lineage: Eukaryota; Metazoa; Arthropoda; Insecta; Lepidoptera; Nymphalidae. The record is from RefSeq and is a predicted model, not a curated record. The transcript has 4 exons.
GUGGUCGAGUCGUUGCGUGCUCGCUUAUUCUGCGUGUUCGUCAUAAAAUCGAUGUUUAUUUUGACGUGACUACGAAUUUUGUUUACGCGAUUGUACGACUUCUUCGGUGUUCGUAUACCGGGGGAGAUUGUGUUGUGUUUGUGUUUUUUCUAUGACGCUUGCGUUCACUUCACUUGCAGUGAUUUUGCUGAUAGCUCAUUCACCGGUCGGUGUGCGCGUGAUAAACUUCGUGUAUUAUAAAAAAUAAGGCGAAUAGUCGUCAAGUGUGGGUGUCUUACAGUACCACGAUGCUGUGCACGGUGACAUAGUGAACGUUGAAUUAACCCUGACCUCUGACAACCAUGUCUGGUCGUUCGGAUUGCAGGAAAUUUGCACCAAAUAUCUUUAAUAAGAGCAAGUGCACCAAUUGCUUCCGACAGAAGGAGGAGCACAGCGCCGAGGCAUUGGAAUCUAAUCGGGCCAGCAGGAAGAUAUCAAGAUGCGGAUACCUGUUCGUCGCACCGGGCUGGGACUUCUCCAAUCCGCUCUACAGAACAAAGGUAACACAUUCGCAAACAUGAUAGGACAUCACGUUUAAUUUCUCACUAACAUAUGCAAAAUAAGUAAGGUGAAGUUGUUAGCGGCGGCGGCCGGCGGGCGAUUGUUAUAAUUAAUGUCCGAUGAUAUCACAUCAAGAUGUUCAGUAACGUUCAGCAUUAGUGAAAGUGCCGGC